Molecule: long non-coding RNA, 1664 nt
Filed under: Linum usitatissimum (flax)
Lineage: Eukaryota; Viridiplantae; Streptophyta; Magnoliopsida; Malpighiales; Linaceae
Description: long non-coding RNA (LUSI_LNC006615)
Source: RNAcentral
CUGGGUUUUCCUCAUUUUCCUUAAAAGUUGUAUCUUCUAGCAUUCACACUCAUAAGUGUUGUAUUUGUUCACUGGUGGUAUGUUGUAAUGAUACUGGUGUUUGUGUGGUAGAAUUCUACUGGUCCGAUUGGGGAUGAACGGUUUAUUAAUGAAGGUUAUUUGUUGUUAUGGGCUUUUUAUUAUUAUAUAUAUUAAUUAAUGGCACUGAAACACCCUAGUUAGUCUAGGGCAUUAUAUUUGAACAAGUGGUUCAACUAUAGUCUGCCCAGGGUGGGGUUACAGUCUCAAUAAUUUUUGGUAAUCACAUGGGCAGAUUGGUUCUUGUCAGCAUGGAUACAAAGUAGGGUAAACGGGCUAGAUAUGCUCAGAUUCUGUGUGGAACUUGAUCUAUCUAAACCCUCUUUCUUUCGGUCGUCGAAGGGAACGAUCUGCGACGAAUUUGGACAAAUUGGGAGCUAAAUUGAGGAAGGAGUGCAAUCGGAUCUCCGGGCAUACCCUGCUGAGAAGGGUGUACCACUGGUACCCUGAAUCUUGCCCCUGAAUUCCAUUUGAGCACCUACCGUGACCACGGUACCUAACAACACAUAUAGAUAGAUUGUUAAAGGAUUUCAGCAACACUUUUGUGUUUUCUGAAUCAAAAUACACGACCUCAAGAGACCAGGAACAGCUUUGUUCAACUACUUUUGAAACCAAAGAUCCAAGGUUGGGAUCAAGUGGAUAAAAGUGUACAUAAAUCCAGCAAUUGUAUUUGUACCAUACAACCACACUUUAUAUCCCAAAAUUUCAAAAUUAGAAUAACAACAAAGCACAACCUGCAGGCCUAAGUUGGGUUGUCUUACAUUAGUAACUAGGCAGUGAAAAUGCUGGGGUAGGUUCUUGGAAACCACCCAUGGAUAGAAUACAGAAUACAGAAUGGGACAUACAACUCCAGUCAAGCUCCAGAGAGAGCUUUACUUUAGGGCCACAACCAAUCUGAGUAUUAACAUCAAGCUGAAACAAGUAUAGGGUUAAAAAGAGUGUUGGAAAUGUAUUUUAGGAGGAGGAGAAGUAAGAAAAAAGACACAGGUGAAUGUGGUUCGUCAAAUGCUGUUGAGAGUGACCUAACUCAUGAUCACCCCACCACUGAACAUAACAUGAUGACGUCCCUAAAAGUUUGGAUAUUUCACCGAGUUUAAACCUCAUAAGACACCAUCCACGUCAUGAGGCUCUGAUGCAGUGAACAAUAUAUAGAAACCACCAACUGAAAAUAGUGUUUCAUUAAGAACCCUAAUAAUAUUUUGAUCUUAAUUAACCGUUCUCCUAUGAAUCCAACCAUCAGGCUCUCUCGCUCCUAACUUUUCAUCGGAUAUAGAAAGCAGACGACAGAAAGACAAGUAGAAAUGGCGACCACCAAUGCAUUAAAUAAAGCUGUUUGUGCAAACAGUCAAACACUAUACCUUUCCGGCCACCUCACUGCAAUUAUUGGGGUAGUCCACAACAUACCGCAAACUGCAAGAAAACACCGCAACUGGAUAGUAGGGAAUGAGAAUGAGGGAGAAGGAAGAUCCAAAAAAUCGCCAGGGAGAAGAUGAGUGAUUGGUAGUAACCAGAUGCAGGCAGCUGAUGACGGCAGGACGGAACCAGCUGAUGAACUUGCAAUGAUAGGAUGUUGGGCUCAUGGGCUG